AUGGACUCCUCCAUUUUCCUGUUCAUUAUACCUUACUUCUUUGCCUGCACUCUAGCCGCAACCAGCCCCACAAUCCUCCUCAACUCAAGCGAACCGACGUCAUGGCUAAACGACAACUCGAUCGACAUGAACGUAAACAGCACCGACGGAUCAAAAGUAAGAGCAAUUCUAUCAAGAACAAGGAGCCUCGGCUUUGUCUCUGGAUUCUACUGCACUGGCAACUGCACCUCUUACUACUUCGGCAUUACUGUCGUUGGAGGAGGCAAUCCCGCCUUGGUUUGGUCAGCAAACCCGGAACACCCGGUGAGCGAGAACGCGAACCUGACACUGACUCGAGAGGGGGAUUUAGUGCUCCGGAAUCCGGAUGGAUCGACUGUGUGGUCGACCGGAACGGCAGGGAUCUCUGUGGCGGGAAUGAACUUAACCGAAUUGGGAAACUUGGUUUUGUUUAAUGAGACGGGAGCUGUUUGGCAGUCUUUUGAUCACCCAACCGAUACAUUGUUGGCCGGACAACGGUUGUACGAGGAUCAGAGGCUUGUGUCGGGUUUGUACUAUGCCACUGUAACAAUCUCUGGACUAGCUGCAUUUACCAGGGUGGGUAACGGUGGAUCACAGAUGUACUACCAGCUGGAACCAGAGCCGGAUACCACGGAUCAAAGUUCACUUAGAGGCCGGUGUCCUCUUCUAACGAAAAUCGAAGUCAAUACCUCAGAUAACGCAGAGCUCCAAACCAGAGGAUUCCUCGAGAACAUGGGAUCAAACCGCUCAAAACUGCCGUUGGAUUUGUCUGUUGAGUACGUACGACUCAAUAGCAAUGGGAGUUUGAAGUUAUACAGGCACGAACCAGCAACCAGGGCAAAUGAGAUUGUCGAUAUGGUUACCAAAGAUUUCGGAGUCUGUCAACUUCCUCGCCAAUGCGGGGAUUUCGGCUUCUGCGAUGAAGGGAUAUGUGGUUGUCCCAAAGGAGUCAAAGGGUUUAAAUGGAAGAAUGAUAGAUGCUCCAGGACUACCCAAUUGUGCCAAGCUCGCUCUGAUAAAGCAGACCUGGUCGAAAUGAAAAAUGUCAGUUACUUCAAUUUCAUUGAUCCAAAUGCAGCAGCUUCAAACAUCACAGAUUUAGAGAGCUGUAAAGAAGCUUGUCACAAUAAUUGUUCAUGUGAAGCUGCAUUCUACGGGUAUGAUAAUAACAAUCAUUCAAAUGGUUUCUGUUAUAUUCCAUCAGAGGUCUUGUCCGUAAGAGAAGGAGAAAUUCCAAAUUACAAUUUCACAUCAACAGCAUAUAUUAAAGUGGAGAAACUGGCACCGAAAAACCGAAACAGACUAAUAGAGAUAAUAGCAGGCUCCGGUUCUGCUGUCCUAUUGAUUUUCUGUCUCUCAAUACUGAUAUUCUGGAAGAAAUUUAGCAAGACGAUCACAGAGGAUGUCGAGGAGUAUAUGCGACAAGUUCCGGGGAUGCCCGUUAUGUUUACGCAUGAGCAACUUCGUGUGGCAACAAGGGAUUUCAAGGAGAGGCUUGGUAGUGGUGGGUUUGGCUCGGUGUUCAAAGGAGUGUUACCGGAUGGCACUGAGAUCGCAGUGAAGCGGUUACAUAAAGUGGGCCACGCAGUUAGGGAAUUCAUAGCAGAAGUUGAAACAAUUGGCAGCAUCCACCAUUUUAAUCUGGUGAGAUUGGUUGGCUUUUCUGCAGAUAAAUCUUGCCUUCUAGUAUAUGAGUACAUGAGUAAUGGGUCUUUAGACCAAUGGAUCUUUCAUAGGGACCAAAAACCUUGUCUCGAUUGGGAAACCCGUAAGAAGAUUACUCACCAGAUAGCCAAAGGGUUGGCCUAUUUGCAUGAAGAAUGCAGACAGAGAAUCAUUCACCUUGACAUAAAGCCACAAAACAUUCUCUUGGAUGCAAAUUUCAAUGCCAAAAUCUCGGAUUUCGGGUUAUCUAAGCUAGUAGACAGGGACAACAGCCAGGUCCUGAUCACUUUGAGAGGAACUCCUGGGUAUAUUGCUCCAGAAUGUGGCCAUUCAAAUAGCACAACAAAAGUUGACAUCUACAGUUUUGGGAUUGUUCUCCUCGAAAUAGUUACCGGCAGGAAAAAUUUAGAUGGAACCCGAUCAGAAUCCAGCAAACAUCUACUCAGUUUGAUGCAGAAGAAGGCAAGGGACGAUCAAUUACUUGACAUUGUGGAGGAUUUGAACGAGGAGAUGCCUGAAAAUCGAGAAGAAAUGUUGAGAAUGAUAAGAAUUGCAGCUUGGUGUUUACAAAAUGAUCCCACUAAAAGGCCUCUCAUGUCGACCGUGGUGAAGGUUUUGGAAGGAGUGAUGGAAGUGGAUCCAAGUAUCAGCUACGACUUCACCCAUGCAAUGGGAUCUUCUUCCGUUGCCAGUGGCCAUGUUUCUGCAACACUACAAUCAUCAGUUCUUUCAACUCCUAUGCAAGCAUCAGUUCUUUCUAAUCCUAGAUGAAAAGCAGCAAUUCAGAGAGAGAGAGAGAGAGAGACGGCAAGAAGAAGAAGAAGAAAGAGGGGUUCCAGCUUGGUAAUUGAAGACCUGAUUUGGUAAUUCUUAUGCUUUAAGUAGUGAAUUUCAUACUCUACUUUUGGGUUUAAUUCAAGAGAAUAUGUUUUGGGAUUGAAUUUAUAUGGAGCUCAAGAACUAGACCUUGAAUCCUUGAUUGGUGUGUUAAGGUUUGUUUUGGAACUUGAUUUUCCUGCUGUUGUGGGUAGAUCUUGUAGUCCAUCUGAUUAUCAAUUUGUAAGGUUUUAGAGCGGGUUGAGGUGUUCGAAGUGGUUUGGGGGGUUGGAAAUCGAAGGAAAGUCGAACUGCACUUUUUAGGAAAACCCAGUCUCUAACAGUAGCAGGUUUUUGGCCCUAGCAGUAGCAACACUCUAGAACUGGAAUUCUUGGUUAUCCUACCGGUAGGAGGGUUUUUUUCCUCCUGGUAGCACCUGCAUACUUUGGAGAAAUUCUGCAUCGUUUAUGAUUUACGUUUGAUCUCCCACAUUCCUAGGACCUCAUUCUAAGCAUGAAUAGACACAUUUGGCAUUGACUAAUCAUAUUUUUG
RNA transcript from Rhododendron vialii, 3052 nucleotides. It is a transcript of the gene named G-type lectin S-receptor-like serine/threonine-protein kinase SD2-5, with no coding region annotated. The record is from RefSeq and is a predicted model, not a curated record. NCBI's taxonomy places the organism in Eukaryota, Viridiplantae, Streptophyta, Magnoliopsida, Ericales, Ericaceae. The transcript is spliced from 3 exons.